This 468-nucleotide ribosomal RNA is filed under the name uncultured bacterium. RNAcentral describes it as "partial 16S ribosomal RNA". It matches the Rfam family "Bacterial small subunit ribosomal RNA", at positions 29 to 507 of the family's 1533-position model. The record is from RNAcentral.
ACGAACGCUGGCGGCGUGCUUAACACAUGCAAGUCGAACGGUGAAGCGAGUGCUUGCACUCGUGGAUCAGUGGCGAACGGGUGAGUAACACGUGAGUAACCUGCCCAUCACUCUGGGAUAAGCACUGGAAACGGUGUCUAAUACUGGAUACGACCAACCCUUGCAUGGGGUGUUGGUGGAAAGAUUUAUCGGUGAUGGAUGGACUCGCGGCCUAUCAGCUUGUUGGCGGGGUAAUGGCCCACCAAGGCGACGACGGGUAGCCGGCCUGAGAGGGUGACCGGCCACACUGGGACUGAGACACGGCCCAGACUCCUACGGGAGGCAGCAGUGGGGAAUAUUGCACAAUGGGCGAAAGCCCGAUGCAGCGACGCCGCGUGAGGGAUGACGGCCUUCGGGUUGUAAACCUCUUUCAGCAGGGAAGAAGCGAAAGUGACGGUACCUGCAGAAGAAGCACCGGCUAACUACGUG